GGGAACGUGAAAGGGACCGACCUUCGGGAGCCUAUACAGGUGUUGCAUGGCUGUCGUCAGCUCGUGUCGUGAGAUGUUCGGUUAAGUCCGCUAACGAGCGCAACCCUCGUCGUAUGUUAUAUGUGUCAUACGAGACUGCCGGUAAAAAGCCGGAGGAAGGUGAGGAUGAUGUCAAGUCAGCAUGACCUUUAUAUCCAGGGCUACACACACGCUACAAUGGUCUGUACAAUGGGUAGCCAAGCCGCGAGGCGGAGCCAAUCCUGAAAGCAGGCCUCAGUUCAGAUUGCAGUCUGCAACUCGACUGCAUGAAGCCGGAGUUGCUAGUAACCGCAGGUCAGCAAUACUGCGGUGAAUACGUUCCCGGGUCUU
Molecule: ribosomal RNA, 369 nt
Filed under: uncultured Anaerolineaceae bacterium
Lineage: Bacteria; Bacillati; Chloroflexota; Anaerolineae; Anaerolineales; Anaerolineaceae
Description: bacterial SSU rRNA
Rfam family: Bacterial small subunit ribosomal RNA
Source: RNAcentral